GAGGCGCCCCCAUCGCCGCGUUGACAGAGCGGGGAGAGCCGAUGCUGGUCCGCACCUCGGCGCCUUUCCGUGGCAGCGUCUCCUGCUCAGGUCUCCUUCUGCGUGGAUGACCGGAGCUGAAGUCUCGCGUCUGCUGCGCACUCAGUAUGCGGCCGCUACGCUGCGGGAAGAGAAGGAGACAGCGCACGGCGUGCCCUCCUCUUUUUCGGGAGGGAUGGUUCGCCGCGCGGGAGGCGCGCCAAGGAGGCGCUCGGCGGCCGCGGCUGCUGAGGGAGCUGCGGUGUGGGGUUGUGGUUAUUGGCAGUGCCUGACUUCGAAAUCGGGCGUUUACCUCUAAUGAAAGCAGUGGAAGUUGGUCAGUGGCCGGAGCAUGCACCAACAUGACUAAAAGAUGUCCCAAGAGCAUGGUUUCCAGUGUGUUUUGCUGGAAGUUCGGGAUCUCCCUGUGUGGUGAAAGUCUCUGAGCAUGAGAAGGGCAUGUGGGAAGAAGCCAAGUGCUGAUUGCAGGGCUGAGAAAAUAUAACUAAUCUUCAGUGAAGUGAUGAAACUCCUCCAGGUUGGCCAUAAUGCUCUUGAAAGUAAUAAAAUUAGAAAGUUUCAUCAAUGAAAUGUGAGAAUCUGCUUGAGCAACACAGAUGCACUGAAUCCUUUACCACUGCUGCUGCUAGGAAGUGAGCCUGUGAAAUCCAUCCGCACCUUCUGCACCCUAGGCACUGGGGACUUUUGCAGGGCUGAAGAGUAAGGAAGUAUUGUUAGAACCAGCCUGAGAGCAAUGCCUGUCCAUUGAAACACUCCUAAGAAACAAAAAACUGUUUGAAAGAUGGACUAUUAAGUCUUCAUGUAGUAAGACAAAGUGCAUUUAACUGUAUUGUGGCAGUGUCUGGUAAUGUUUGUAUAGACAAAAAAUUGAAGAUUAAUGUUUCUGUUCUCAGAAUUUCUGUCUUUCCCAAGCCUUAGUAACAGUUGCUUCUUUUAGAGAGUUUGGACUUCCUUUGUGUUAUUGUUGGGAUACCAAUGCACUCCUGUGGAUGAAACAAAGCCCAGGAGUGAGUUGGGAUGUGAUGACUUAAACCAUGGUCUCCUGUAGUAUUUGAAGAUAGGGUUGGCUGAGAUUUAUAUUGCAGUGAGCAAAAGUAGAAAUUUUAAAAGUAGAAGUUCAGCAAACCUGGCUUUAAAAUGAGUAGGAAAGAUGUUUAUCCAACAUGGAGAAUGGCAAGCUUGGUUUAUUAUCACCUUGACCAGCUACAUCAUGUGGUACUUCAGCAUAACUUAGAGUGAAAUACUCUUGAGAUAAUUGGGAUUGCUGCUUAUUUUUCUAGGAAGACUUAACAUAGUUUAUCAGAAGAACAAAUGUUUAAAUUGUGUAUCUUGCAAUGUGUGAUUUUUCAGUACUGAAUGUUACUAAUUCUAAGUGUAAGGUUGUUUUUAGUUUGUCAAGAGAGAAGGGGGUUUAGACAAGAGUAAUUAAUUUUUAGAGGUCCAGCUUGUAAUUAUGGGAUAUACUUGAAAGUUUAGGGUUUUUACUAGGGAUUACAUUCCCUGAAGAUACCAUCUGUUCAGGAGUUCUGCUUAUGGGCCUUUGUUCUUGAACUGUAAGACCAACAGGAGUAGCUUUUUAAAACAUUAAAAAAAAAAAAUCUCAAGAGCAACAGCUAGUGACUGAUUUGAUAAUUGGUAUUUAACACCAUUGUUAGAUACUUGCUUGGUAUCAACCCCAGGGUAAACUUCCUUUCAGCUAAAAAAGAUGUAGAACCCCAAGCUUUAAUGUUUAUACAGGAGUAGAAUAAGGGAAAAGCGAGGUACAGGGAGCAAUAGGUGUGUGCAAGGGUCACAGAUUACGUAUAUAAUAAUGCUGGUAAAUGUGAAGUACAGUGUUAAACAUUAGGACUGCUAAUUAUUUUGUAUGACUGGCUAACUGGAUUGCAGCCUUGAAAAAAUAUCAGACUAAGAAUCUGCUCAGCAAUAAAAACUGAAGAGAAAGGAUAAGGUAUUAAUAUUCUGGAACAACCUGCUACAUGUACUGAAGCCCUGCUUUGCAGGAACUGGGUGGACACCAUGUGCUCCUGGAAAGUAGAAAAAGUAAAUCUUUUGGAGUUUGAGGUUUUUUUGUUUUGGCUUCUGCUUUAUUAAACUCCUUUAUCUUGACCCACAAGUAUUUUUUCCAUCUAAUUCCCUUGCCCAUCCUGUUAAGGAGGGGGGUGGUAGAGCAGCUUGGUGGGCACCUGGUGUCCAGCCAAGGUCAGCAUACCACAGCUCUUACUCAGGAGAACAAAUACAGGAAUAAAAACAGACACAUUACGGAGGGAAUGUUUGCCACACUGGCUCUGUAUCUGUGUGUUUGCUUUGACAGCUUACAUAGUCUGCUGUUGCUCUCUGGUGAUUUUUAGGUGAGAAAGGAAGCUGGUAUAGAUGUGCACUGGAAAUGCAAACCUUACAUUGACAACUUCCAGCUACAAGAUAAAAAACUUAAUCUGGAGAAGCUGUAUCCUCAAGUGGAUUUUAAUUGGUACUACACCUGUUUUUACCAGAUGGUGGUGUCAAAUGAAUCUGUGUUUCUGAAGGCUUUACUCCUUAGUGUAAUGUAAAUAAGACACACAGGCAACCAUGCAAUGCCCUAAAAAUUCAAGUUUUACUUAACUUUUAAAUAACCUGGACACGAGUAUUGACACAGCCAUCUAUCAAACUCAUUUUAAAAUAAAGCACACAGUUGCUUCAUGAAUACCUACUGUACAUGGAACAAAUGUAUCACAUUGGUAUGUUCAUGUAUGUUGUCUUCAAACACCUUUCUAGGGAGUUCUGAAUUAAACAAAUCUUCCCAAAAGAAAACAUGCUAUCUCUUCAGCUCAAUAUCCACCUGUGUAAAAGGAAUGAAUUUGGCAACUUAAAUGGUAAUGACUUUGCAACAAACAUCAUCAAUAUAAUGAGCUUGAUUAGAAUACAAGUUGCAGAGUUAGUGAUACUGGUAAGAGGUGCAGUACAGAAAACAGCAGGUCCAGGCUAGUUCCAAAUGAAAGAAACCAGCCAGCUAAGCGAGGGAAUCAGUACAGGAUAUACAACAGUGCUUUUGUGCUGUGAUUAGCAAGCCCUCUUUAUUGUAUAAAAUACAUGUUUUGCAAAAGGUUGUGCAAAUAUGUUGUAAUUGUUGCUAAUUAGUGAGAGUUCUAUAACUUACCAAUGCUUAGCACUUACGGAAGUCUCAGAAGAGGUAAAGGCAGAGGCAAAUUUAAAUCGUUGGCCUGAGAUCAAUUCAGGAGAACUAGGGUGAGAAUGCCUCAAAUAACAAUCCUUUGUCCAAGUGAGCAGGGGUCUGUAUAUGGCAUUCAACCCCAGGGUAAACUUCCUGACGCUGUUAUGUAUCUCAUGUCUUUUGCCUGAUUGAUCAGGAUGUGCAAGUAUUUUACACUGACAUCCAGACUCCAAAUCUGCAAAUGUAACUGCCUCUAGGCAGUGAACGCCCCAGGAGAGCUGGGGAAGGGUGGCAGCAGUGGAGAGGGCAAGGUGUAGCUCAGAUCUGUAAGAGGCUGGUCACUUAGACAUGUAGAGCUGGUUUAGGUGUGGAAGGCAUAGCUGUGACACAGUGUUUUCAGUGAUUGAUCACUUAUGUGUAUAUCUCACAAAAAUACCAUUUAAAAGGUGCUUUUUCUCAAAUGAUUGAGGAAAUGCUUGAAGGGAAAAGAGGAUCACAUUUAUGAAAAAAAUUUGCUUUUCUGUACUAUUAGGUGACAGUGACGUCCUUAUUGCAAGUUUUGCCUUGUUUUGGCACAACAAAACAUUUGGAAAACAUGUAAUAGGAGGCAUUAUAUCUUUAGUCUUUUGUGGACACAAAACUGGAUUGUAGUGGCCCAGGCUAACAUCAGACUUGCUAAAAACCUGCUUCCUACAUAGUCUCAUGAGGGAGAAGAUCACUAACUCAAAUCUGGGGCUCUCUCCUUAAACUUCUCAUCUAAAUGCAAUAAAGUUGGCUUGAUUAUCAAACAACUCUCUAGUGACUUGAGAAUUUAAACCUUUCACUACUAGACUAGAUAGAAGCUAUUUUCUGGUGUAGUGCAAUAAGUAAAAUACCAUGCACUUGGCUGAUGUAUUUGCUUAGUAUUCAGCAAUAACAAACAAAAGGCCCACAGGACGUUGAAAGCCCACAGGAAAACAUGAGGUUGGAUAUAAACCUUCUUGAUCAAUAUUUAAAGACUGGCAAGAUAGGUACACUAUGUACAGAUAAUUCUCAUAUAAUAAUACAAAUCCUCCUGCAGAAGUAGAUACAUGCUACUUACCUAUGCCUGGGUAAAAAUAGCAAACUAAUGGUAAUGAUUAGAAAGCAGCAAACUAUAAAGCACAUGUGUAAUGUUCCAAGCUGGAACACCUCAAAGGAACAAGGAGUAGCUUUCAUUGCUGGCACUAACCAGUUCUUGUAUAGUUUGUCAU
Onychostruthus taczanowskii (white-rumped snowfinch) is the source of this 4419-nucleotide long non-coding RNA. RefSeq lists it as uncharacterized. The record is from RefSeq and is a predicted model, not a curated record. The transcript is spliced from 5 exons. NCBI's taxonomy places the organism in Eukaryota, Metazoa, Chordata, Aves, Passeriformes, Passeridae.